This is a long non-coding RNA of Cucumis sativus (cucumber), 328 nucleotides long. RefSeq lists it as uncharacterized. The transcript is spliced from 4 exons. NCBI's taxonomy places the organism in Eukaryota, Viridiplantae, Streptophyta, Magnoliopsida, Cucurbitales, Cucurbitaceae. The record is from RefSeq and is a predicted model, not a curated record.
AAGAGUAGACGAAGAGAGGUUAAUUGCAGUCAUGCCACCAUUGACCAAAGAACAUAUCCAGGCUAUGUGUAAGCUGGUCACCAAGUGUUGUGAAGAUUCCAGACAAAGCAUACGACGAGCUCCUCAAAAGGGGUCAUUGGGCACUGCUGGCCAUAAAUGCGUAUGAUGAUACAGUAUUUUACCUCGACUCACUAAGGACAACAUCGAAGUCAACUAUAAGAUACGUCACUGACACGUAAGUUAAUCUAGUAUUUCAUUUAGUGUUGAUUCUUAUAUGCAUGUACACAAUAUUUAAACUAUUUGUUCAAUCUUAUCUUGUCAAAACAGA